GAUGAACGCUGGCGGCGUGCCUAAUACAUGCAAGUCGAGCGAACAGACGAGGAGCUUGCUCCUCUGACGUUAGCGGCGGACGGGUGAGUAACACGUGGAUAACCUACCUAUAAGACUGGGAUAACUUCGGGAAACCGGAGCUAAUACCGGAUAAUAUAUUGAACCGCAUGGUUCAAUAGUGAAAGACGGUUUUGCUGUCACUUAUAGAUGGAUCCGCGCCGCAUUAGCUAGUUGGUAAGGUAACGGCUUACCAAGGCAACGAUGCGUAGCCGACCUGAGAGGGUGAUCGGCCACACUGGAACUGAGACACGGUCCAGACUCCUACGGGAGGCAGCAGUAGGGAAUCUUCCGCAAAGGGCGAAAGCCUGACGGAGCAACGCCGCGUGAGUGAUGAAGGUCUUCGGAUCGUAAAACUCUGUUAUGAGGGAAGAACAAAUGUGUAAGUAACUAUGCACGUCUUGACGGUACCUAAUCAGAAAGCCACGGCUAACUACGUG
RNAcentral lists this ribosomal RNA (497 nucleotides) under uncultured bacterium. RNAcentral's name for it is "partial 16S ribosomal RNA". It matches the Rfam family "Bacterial small subunit ribosomal RNA", at positions 28 to 507 of the family's 1533-position model. The record is from RNAcentral.